GAAACUGCAACCCUGGUCUGAGGCUGGUAACAUGUUGCAACAAUUUACAAAUGUUACUUUUUAAAAAUGCACUGCAAUUGCUCAUUCGUGAGCUUGCUGGAUGUGUCCUUGUGUGAGAAAUUGCAUCUGUAUUCUUAUUAGUUUUGACAAACUGGAUUAGAGCUUGCCUAUUGUUAAGUGGUUCUAUCUGUCCUCAAAUCUACUGAGAGACACAGCAUUUUUAAUGAAUUUAAUUAAAACUGCAUGUGGCUCAUAGACUUCUCCCCAGUUGCUUUGCCAUUCUUCCUGCCCAAAUAGAGUUGCUGCUAAUAUGUUAUGUUUUAUGUGAGAGUUGUCAGACUCUCAGCUAGAAGCACCAAGGUGGUUUCCAUGGAAUGACAUGGUGGUGAAAUAGUAAAAUUCUAAAAAAACUUCUUUCUACUUAAGUGAGGCAUGUUUACACUAACUAAUGUAUGCAUAAAUGUGUUAAGUAUGUUUGUGAGAGACAUGGGUUGUAUUUCAACACCAGCAAUAUAUUGGCAGCAAGAGGUUUCACAAAAUUUGAUCCUGGCAGCAGGAUUAGUAUGUAUUAUUCUUUGAAGUAUGAAAAAAAAAAUCAGACCUUCGUGGAAUUUCCUUUGGAAGUUCAGUUCAGCUAGGCAAUCACUUUUACUGGCUCUCCUCUAACAACCAGGAAUUGCACGUAAAGACAGCUCCCAGCAUCGACUUUAAACGAUCUGAAAAGGCAUUAGUAACAGAACUGUGUGGGUUACUUUUUUAAACGAAGAUACCUAAUUUGUUUCUUAAAUAUUUUUGGAAAAUGUUUGUUCCAUAAAACUUCAGAGAGGGUGUCAAUGAAGACCUCUAACAGAUCAGCCUCAAAUUCUGAUUCCUGGAGAUGAUUUUCGUUGGGAAUGGCAGGAAAGUGCACAUGUGUGUCUUGGGGGGGGGGGGGGCAGGGAGGGUCACAUGCCUAGGUGUGCUUAUGCAUGUGGAAGCUAGAGGUCAGAGGUCAACAUCAUGUGUCUUUUUCAUAUAUUCUCUACCUUAUUUUUGAGACAGGGUCCCUUGAACCUGGAGCUGGCUGGUCAUCUUGCCAGUAAGCCCCUGGCAGGUAGGAGGAAGAGGAGAGUCUCCUUCUUGUACACCUGGUGCUGCUGUUGCAGGCACUCACUGUCACACUUGGCUGUUUGUGUAGGCUCCGGGAAUCACUAGUACACAGCAAACCUUUUAGCAGUUGAGCCAUCUCCCCAGCUCCCAGCUCUUAGUUUUUAAAACACUAAAAACAUUACCAAGGGAUAAAGUUUUUAAAUGUCACCUUUGGUAAAUAUAUAACACAAUAGACUUUCAUGGAAAUGGACAGGACCAUUGUGAAUGGUUUCAUAAGAUUAAAGAGGGGGAUUUAUGGUUCCAAGACCUAGAGUUGGGUUGAAAGGAAGGCAUGGGGGUGUUUGCAGAAGGAAACCAGCUGGUUGCAUCUUUAUGCCCACACAGAAGGCAGAGGGGGUAAACGGAUGGGCAGAAGAGGUAGCACAGGAUAUGAUGUGAGGCUAUAAGGCUAUAAGCCCUCGAAACCCACCCUUGGUGACGUGCUUCCUCCAGUGAUGCUGUCCCUCCUAAGGGUUCCAUAACUCCCCAAAGCGUGCCACUAGCUUGUAUGAAGUUCAAAUGCAGGAGCCUAUUGUGGACACUUUCUCAUUCAAACCACAGUAGGAAACAAGAAGUUUUAGGCAAAUAGCACUAAGUAGAUUAGAAAUUCUAGAAAUAGGCACUGUGGGGCAAGAGAGAUGAGCCCAGAUUGUAGGCAGGGGGUGAACUAUGAGUAUCCCAUGGGGAAAGCAUGGAAGCAAAGAGAGGUCAUGGCAAGGUGAAAGGUUGAGCUCUUGAGAAAUUAGUGGGAAAACGACAGGAAUGAUCAAUGGGUAGGAUUUGAGGAGCAGAAAUGGACUAUGGGCUACGUCUACAUUCAUCUGCCUCCUACAUUUGUAGUGAGAACAGAUGUAGUUAGCACUAAAAAUAAUGCAAGCUUGGAUAUGGUCAAAUAUGCCUGUAAUCCCAGCACUCAGGAAGCCGAAGCAGUAGGAUCGUGAGUUCAAGUCCUGCCUGGUGCAGUCUGGGCCAGCCUGAACAUGAUCACACACACACACACACACACACACACACACACACACACCUCAUAAAACCAAAUUAAAAAUAAAUGUAUUGCAUAACACUCUUAGUAAAAGUCUUGGUAUGUUACCCAUGUUAAUAAAUUUUUAAGAUAAAAAUUACCAUUUAAACAUAUUAUUGGACAAUAUCUAGAAAUUUCCAUAAACAGUUUCUUGUAUCAGUUAAAAAAUGAUCAAAUAUCCUUUCAAUAAAUAUCUUUCACUAGUUAAAACUGAAAUAAUUUUAGAUGGUAUCAUCUUUUCCAAAUAUCUCAUUAACCGGAAGAGAACUCUAUUGAGUGUUUUAAGUAAGAAUAAAAUUUAAAUUCUGCACAGGAAAGGUAAAAACAAUCUCAGCUCAGUUAGAUAAAGGAAGUAUGGGUUGCAUAGGCAUUGUCCUG
This 2527-nucleotide long non-coding RNA is filed under the name Mus musculus (house mouse). Its description in RNAcentral is "long non-coding RNA chr6:5817117-5819644". Lineage: Eukaryota; Metazoa; Chordata; Mammalia; Rodentia; Muridae. The record is from RNAcentral.